RNAcentral lists this small RNA (29 nucleotides) under Bombyx mori (domestic silkworm). RNAcentral's name for it is "ovarian small RNA-20678". Lineage: Eukaryota; Metazoa; Arthropoda; Insecta; Lepidoptera; Bombycidae. The record is from RNAcentral.
UACCCUAGUUUAACAUACGUCACCAAGGA